Molecule: ribosomal RNA, 255 nt
Filed under: uncultured bacterium
Lineage: Bacteria
Description: partial 16S ribosomal RNA
Rfam family: Bacterial small subunit ribosomal RNA
Source: RNAcentral
UACGUAGGGGGCGAGCGUUGUCCGGAUUUAUUGGGCGUAAAGAGCUCGUAGGCGGUUUGGUAAGUCGGGUGUGAAAUCUCCACGCUCAACGUGGAGGGGCCACUCGAUACUGCCAUGACUCGAGUCCGGUAGAGGAGUGUGGAAUUCCCGGUGUAGCGGUGAAAUGCGCAGAUAUCAGGAGGAACACCGGUGGCGAAGGCGGGUCUCUGGGCCGGAACUGACGCUGGAGGAGCGAAAGCGUGGGGAGCGAACAGG